ACGGCCGUACCAUGCUGAAUACACCGGUUCUCGUUAGAUCACCGAAGUCAAGCAUCAUUGGGCGCGGUCAGUACUUGGA
Caerostris darwini is the source of this 79-nucleotide non-coding RNA. The record is from the annotation of a GenBank genome assembly. NCBI's taxonomy places the organism in Eukaryota, Metazoa, Arthropoda, Arachnida, Araneae, Araneidae.